UGGGCUAGGAUUAACCAGUUGGUAAUGGUUUCUCCAUGUUUCAUAAAGCCGCCAAAACCACCAUUUCAACCCUUCCCAGUCAGCACUUUCAUCCAGUCCACCAUUGCCAUUUCCGGUGUUACCACCUCCACCUCUACUAUCACUAUUCCCUUGACCAUCACCGCUACUAUUUUUGACAAUGGGUACACGAAAAAUCAACCAAAAAGAACAAUGAUCAGAAUUUUAAGUUUUCAAACAAAUACUGUAACUAGUAGUACCUUUAGCUAGCAUACCGUAGUUAUAUUUGAAUUUGUUCUAAAAUUUAAUUAAAUUUUAUAAUUUGUCUAAAUAUAUCUCUAAUUUUGUUACUUGUUAAGUAAGAAAGGAUUUAAAGUUAAAAUAUAUAUUGACUUAUAAGUUAUAUUAAGUUGUGACUUAUAAAUAAAGUGUUCGGCAUCAAUUUCACUUAUAAGUAAGAAAUUAAGUUCAAAUAAGUUAUAAAUGUAUUCGGCUCAUAACGACUUAUAAGUUAAAAUUAACAGUAAAGAUUACUAAAAAGGACAUUAAUAAAAAAAGGAGUACAAUAAAAAAAGGAGUACAAUAGAAGAGGGAUAAAAUAGACAUUACAUUUGGUCAAACUAACUUAUUUUAAAAUAAGUUACUAAGUAUAUCUUAUUUUUUAGACUUAAAAACCAAAUUUUAAGUAGAAAAUUGACUAAUAGUGGCAAAUGACUUGGGACUUAAAAGUUGUAAUUUCAACAACGAUUACAAGAGUGUCAUUGUACCAACAGAGUACUACUUCAUUAAAGAUCAAAGUUUGAGAAUUUACCCCAUAAUCGAAUCGGAUUCACCAUUAAUUCUCUCAUAAUCUUCAAACUGGCUGAUAUUAUAGUUGAAACUUGAGGCUGCUCCACAUUUUGCAUCAACAUAACUAAACUCAACACAGCAUUUACAGCUUGUGAACUAGUGCUUUUCCUGGUUUCAAAAAUAUUGAUCUUUGGUGCUUUAAAAUUUUCAGAAUCGAGGGUCUUGAAAAAAAAAUAUUUUUCUGCAAGAACCCAUAAUUCUCUGUUCUUGGAUUAUGGCCUCCUCCAACGCAGACAGGAAAGAGUUUGGAGGUAGGGGCCGAAGCCAUGAAAAGUACAAGUGAGUUAAAAAAAACUGAUAAACCAAAUUAGUCGAGAGAGCUCUCAAAUUCAUUGGGCAGAGAAAUAUCGGUGGGAGUUAC
RNAcentral lists this long non-coding RNA (1207 nucleotides) under Panax ginseng (ginseng). RNAcentral's name for it is "long non-coding RNA (PGIN_LNC007886)". The record is from RNAcentral. Lineage: Eukaryota; Viridiplantae; Streptophyta; Magnoliopsida; Apiales; Araliaceae.